This 253-nucleotide ribosomal RNA is filed under the name uncultured bacterium. Its description in RNAcentral is "partial 16S ribosomal RNA". It matches the Rfam family "Bacterial small subunit ribosomal RNA", at positions 524 to 776 of the family's 1533-position model. The record is from RNAcentral.
GACAGAGGGUGCAAACGUUGUUCGGAUUUACUGGGCGUAAAGCGCGUGUAGGCGGCCUCAUAAGUCCGUUGUGAAAGUCAAAGGCUCAACCUUUGAAAGCCGAUGGAUACUGUGAGACUUGAGUACGGAAGAGGCGAGUGGAAUUCCUGGUGUAGCGGUGAAAUGCGCAGAUAUCAGGAGGAACACCAAUGGCGAAGGCAGCACUCUGGGACGUGACUGACGCUGAGACGCGAAAGCGUGGGGAGCAAACAGG